GAAUAGGAGAGAAAAAAAAAGGGGGGAAAGCCCCCAUCUCCACCAGUCCUCAAGGCCUCUCUUUGGUGGGCGAUCUCCCCUUCCAUGAAGUGCUUAAAGACCAAGACAUCGCAUUUGUCAAUCGUGACGUGCCUGUGACUGCCCUCUGAGCAAACGGCAGAUGUGACAUAGCUUGGAACCUCGGGUUGAGCUGCUGAAAUGGAGAAGCUAGCUAGACAGCCCGUGUGUGACCAUGUAAAGGCGAAAUCAUUGAAGCAGGAUCUUAAGAGGGAAAAAGAAUUCUGGAGAUGUCAGUCUCGGGUUCAGCGGCUUCAAGCUGGUGAUAAAAAGACAAGUUCUUUCCCAUGCUUUGUGUGUUCGGAGGCGAAGGCAUAAUCAAGUCAGGGAUUGGUUUUUAUGACAGUGGUAUAUGGAAAGAGGAUCAUGAGGGUAUUCGGGGUGUCAUACAUGACUCUUUUUCCACCAUUUUCACUUCCUGCAGUCCGUAAAAUAUUACAGAAGCAGUGAGUGGUAUAUCUCGGGUAUUACACCCACAAUGAAUGAUGAUCCCGUCUAGGAUCAUGGUCUAUCGCAAAAUCAAAAUCCUGGGGGCAUCCCGUUAGAUCGAGGUGCUGGAGGCACCCUCUCGAGCCAAAACAAAGUUACCCAACGAAGAAGAUCACGAAUGCUUGCUGGUCAAACAUUAGCGACUAACCCCCAUGGUCCUGAGUGCAGGAUGUUAAGAAAGCAAGGCUGUACAGUAAGGCUGGAUCGCCUGUCAAUGGCCAGCUUUGGCACCAAGUUCGGGUACGUCAUCUCGAAAAUAAUGGAGACUUUGGGGUCUGCCCAAUAUUUUUGAUUUUUUCCCAGCCCUGGCAACCAAGCCGAUGAGAAAAGAGAGCAGAUGGUGCACUUGAUAGAAGCCUCGGCAGAAGCUAUUUUCUGGGACAGCAUCGCAUUUUUCAGAGCAACUCCAGCAGAUGGCUUUCCAUUCUGACAAUAGUUUUCAAGGUCAAGUUUCCACAGUGCCCUUUGGUCAUACACUGUCAGCGCCGGUGACAAACCAUAGCGAAUGUUGAGCUUUUGGAGACCAAAAAUAAUAAAAAUGAAGAGCAAUAAGGGGCCACUGACGUACUCAGAACCUAGAAUGAUUGUACAGUGUAAAGGAACCAAAACAGUGAAGAAAGUUCAUAGAUUCCUUUCUAGAUCUACGCUGUUGGAGGAUGGUUGGUGAGAAACCGACCAUAAAUAGGAGAUGAGUAGGUCGAAGGGAGGUUCAUGGUGAAUUUUCAGCAUCAACGGUGGGCACUGUAGCGGCAUGCAGAGGCGACAGUGUUGGAGCUUCGUUGAUUUCUGGAAGAACCGGUUGGUGUAUAUUUGUGGGAACGAAGGUUGUUGAUGGGAAUUUUACAGACCAGAAACGACAGCCUACUCAGUAGCAGCAGAAUUUUCAUGCGACUGGAGCUGCACCAAACACGGGAUUACCUCGAUUUGAGCAGUCAUAUGCUCAAGGCACAGGUCCUGCCUGGAAUGGUCAAUUGGUUCUACAACAGCAGCCUUCUUCACCUGUCUAUGGUGCUCAGAGAAGUGGCUUGCUACCACCACCACUCUGGGAAGUACAGGCGCCAGACUCUAGCCCAGUUGCGGGUGCUCAAUAUCCUCAAUCAAUGGUUACUCAAGUUAGUGUAACACAUGGCCAACCUCAAGGACCUCAACAUAUGAGAAAUGAUCAGAUGGUGGGUAUGUACAUUCAGCCAAUCACAACCAGUCAUUUGUCAGCAAUUAAUAACAAGGCUGUUCAGGGAAACCGGUUUGCUGGUUUUCAUCCUCAAUCAAUUCUGGGAGCACAGUAUAUGGACAUACUUUCACAGCAAAUGGCUCCUAUGUAUCCUCAACAAAUGUAAGGCAACCAAAUGGGAGUAUAUGGUUAUGUUCAACAACACUUCAAGCCAUUAUUUCCUUAAUGGAAAAUGGAGGAGAUCGUGUCAAAUUGGUGAAGGCUAUGGACAAUUUAAUGGAGCCGCGUCGAAUUCCUCAAGUCAAGAUAAUCUUCUUUUUUUUGGUAUUUUAUUUAUUUACUUAUUAUUUUUUUGUGUUAGUUAUUUUUAGGAGUAUUAUUCUUAUUUUUAUAUUUUUAUUUUUUGCAAAAAAAUAAAAAUUUUCAAAAAGAAAUAUUUUUGAAGAAAAACUGAAAGUAUCAAUUUUCCUUAAAAAUAAAUUUCAAAAAAAAAAAGUUUUUGAGGAAAAGUUGAAAGUAUCAAUUUUAUUUUAAAAUAAAAUUUCAAAAAAAGGUUUUUGAGGAAAAGUUGAAAGUAUCAAUUUUCCUUGAAAAUCAAAAUUUUCAAAAAAUUAUUUUUGAGGAAAAGUUGAAAGUAUCAAUUUUCCUUAAAAAUAUUUUUUUUUUUAAAAAAGGUUUUUUGAGGAAAAGUUGAAAGUAUCAAUUUUCCUUAAAAAUGAAUUUUCAAAAAAAGGAUUUUUGAGGAAAAAUUGAAAGUAUCAAUUUUCCUUGGAAAUCAAUGUUUCAAAAAAAAUAUAUUUUUGAGGAAAAGUUGAAAGUAUCAAUUUUCCUUAAAAAUAAAUUUCCAAAAAAUAUUUUCGGGGAAAAGUUGAAAGUAUCGAUUUUCCCUACGCAAGAGCAAUCAUUCUUUCCUUCCUUCCUAUUUUGAUUUUUGAUUUUGAUUUUUCUUUAACUAAUCCAACGACGGAGCCUCUGCAAGUGAAACAGUAGUUUUUCUUGCAUACUCCUGAGGUAAGGGAAUUUUCUCAAUUUUUUGCUAAAAGUAUUAGAGUCAAUUGAGAAUAAUUUCCAAUAAUUAAUUACUUGGUAAAAUUUUAAGGCUUUUGGAUAACAUAAAUUUAAGCUAGUACCAUCUUUUAAUGGGCGUUGUGAGGGUGCUAUAACCUUCCUCACACGUAAUCGAACUCCCGAACCCUGUUCUGGUUAGCAGACCCGAACCUAUUCUUUUAGGGACCCAAAAGCUUAGGUGUUUCCUAAAAGGGCAGAUUCUUUAGGUGGCCAAUCGCACCUAGAUAAAAAAGAUUGGUGGCGACUCCCUAAAGUCAAUGUCUAGCGAUAGAUCCCCGGAUCUAGAUGUUAUGACAGCUUGGCGACUCCGCUGGGGACUUUGAGAGUCAGACCAACAAAUAAUUUGUGUUAUCCAAAAAGCCGAAUAAAAUUGAACCUUUUUGUAUUUAUGUAUUAUUGUUCAUUCAUGUUUAUUUACUUUGUUAAUUAUGUCAUUCAUGUGCAUGUGCAUAACAUGAGCUCUACACCCGAGCUCUGUCCCUCUAGGAGGGAGUAAAGUACCUAUUGCUUUCGUGAGGUCUAAUGCCUCCGCAGUGGCUAGCGAAAUACUCCCACUCAAAUUGAACCUUUUCCGCUUGUAGCCUGUAAUGGGUGAGGAUUAUGGUGCCUUACUAGUCUGUGAUGGACAAUGAUGUAAGGAGCAAUUUGGGAACCUUUAGACUUUGACCUUAAACCACAUAUAGUGAACCUUAAGAGUGCCUAAACCUAGAUAGAGCCCUUUCUACCCAAUGAUAGAUAUACCCUGAAAUUAAGACACAAAAAGGAUGCUUAUCUAAUCACCUUGAUUGUCUGACUUUGUGCAUCAUUUUCAUUAUCAUAUGUAACAUUACGCAUCAGCAUCAUUUUCAUUUCAUCCAUGAAACUAAUUGUAUUGUUUGUCUGAUUUUAUGCAUCUGUAUUACUUUCAUGAUCAUGUUUUAACACAAUCAUUUGCAUCCAUUUCAUAUUAGAUUUCAUUCAAGAAAAUGUUCAUUUCAUUCGUGCAUCAAAGCAUCAUACAUAAAGCAUAGCAUAGCAUUUUUAAUCAUAAUUGUGGUGCUAGAGGUUCAAGGAUAGCUCCACCAAAUAACCCCACUCACCAAUACAAGAGUUCAAGCUAGACUAAUGGAACAAGAAAAUUUCAGUCGUCUUGAGAGAAUAGAGAAAGCUCAGGAAAAGUUAAAAGGGGAGUUGAAUAAGAUUUUAGGGGCAAACUGAUUUAAUAUGGUGGUCCAAAAUUUAAGUCAAAUGUUACUCAUCGACAGCGAGUGGAGAGAGCCUAUUUUUCAAGAAGUGAAUUUCAAUUGAACAGAACAUCGAUCAUAUUCCAACAGCUACAGUUGAAGAUGUGAAGCUUGUGGUGGCUACUGCUCAGAGAGCUUUUUCUAGAAACAAAAGCAAAGAUUAGGCUUCAGCUUCUGACGCUGUUCAUGCCAAGUAUUUACGGGCCAUUGUUUCCAAAACAAUAAAGAGAAAAUUUGAAUUAGCAAAGCUUGAGCAAUUGAUUACGGGAAACCACUUGAUGAGGUAACUUAGGACAUUGAUGAUGUUGUUGGAUGUUUUGAGUACUAUACGUACCUUGCCGAAAGUUUAGAUGUGAAGUAAAAGGUUGCCAUCUCUCUUCCUAUUGAGACAUUUAAGAGUUAUGUGCUUAAAGAACCAUUUGGGGUCAUUGGAUUGAUUACUCUAUGGAAGUAUCCACUGUUGAUGAUAGCCUGAAAAGUAGCUCUUGCUUUGGCUGUAGAUUAUGCUACAAUACUGAAACCUUUCGAGUUGGUAUCUAUCACCUGUUUGGAGCUGGCUGACAUGUGUAGGACGGUUGGUUUUCCUCCAGGUGUCUUGAACAUUUUAACUGGAUCGAGCCUGAAAGUUAUGAUUUUUUUAGCAUCUCAUCUCAAUGUUGACAAGAUUGCCUUUACCAGAAACACUACAACAGAGAGCAUGAUAAUGGAAGCAGCCACUCAAAUGGUCAAGCUUAUAUCUUUAGAACUCAGCAGGAAAAGCCCAAUCAUUUUGUUUGAGGAUCAAGAAUAUGAAGAGUCCCAAUGAAUCAAUGGGACGAGAUAAAAAUCCUUCACCUGGUUGCCCAGGGGCAUGAUUUUAAAGAGGAUGUUAAAACUGGUUGAAUGCCACUUGUCAUUCUAAGAGUUCUUUUAAAGUAAUGUUAGGAUUUUUUUUCUGCAAUAUGAUUUCACUUGUUAUCAUCUUAAUAAGGGCAAGUUAAUGCAUUUCAUUACAUUUUCUCUUUCACUCGACCAUUAUUUCAUGCCCUGUUACCUUUCAUGACUUUACAUUCUCAUUUUCAAAUUUCAGAUGAUGAAUAUUUAGACAAUGGUAACAAUAAUUAUGAAAUUUAAUUUUGAGAACUCAUUCAUAGAGGAGAUGAUUUGAGCGAAAAUAAAGAGGGUAAGCCAUUACCAGAGAUGAAAGAGAUAUAUUUUGAAGAUAUGUAAUCUUUUAUACAAGAUCAUGAGCUUUGUUCAAUAGAUGAUGUUCAAAGAAAGUAUUCAUAAUUGAGAUGAAAAAUGGCCAUCUUUCUUUUACCAUUCAAAAAAACCAUUUAUUGCUACCCCUUUGAGCCUAUUAUGAUUUCUUUUUCGGAGGAACCCCAACCAAGGAUCACCCUCUACACUGGGGGGUAAUUUUUGAAAAAAUCACAAAAGGUCUCAAAAAUAUAAAAAAAAAGAAAAAAUAAAUGCCACACAUGAUUUGGGGCAAAAUAAUGAGAAUCCUUUGUGUGAGGAAAGAAAAAGUAGUGAAACGAUGUGGGGCAAAAUGCCAAGUUGUGUCAAAUGAUCUUUUGGUUUUGAACCUUUUUAAUACAUGUUUUGAGCCUAUUAUAUCCAUUUUUUAUGACCCUUCACCUUGGCCUACGUUACAACCUUGAAAAGUUCAUUUGGAUCGAGUGUGAAUACUCAACUUGAAUGAUCAUAUGUUGAGUGAAUGUAUGCUCAUGAUGAAGCAAUGGAAUCAUGCCACAUUGCUCUAAAGUUUGAUGUAUGAAAGAUAUCAACAAUGGAUGAAAAAUGAAAAAAAAAGAAAAAAAAGAAAAAAAAAAAAGAAAGAAAGAAGGAAAAAAUGAGAAAAUGAAAAAAAAAGAGAUUUAAAUUGAAAACCUGAAAGGGUGAUUUUGGUAAAAAAAAAAAAAGGUCCAGGUCAAAUGGCUCACAUGAAUGGAAGAUCAAAGACAUCUGAAGAUCCCUCAAAGACUGGGGCAAAGUUCGCCAAGCUCAAGAUGACUUCAACAGUAAAUGAAAUGAGUUUUUAAAAAAGAAUCCUAGAUUAAUGUUGAGAAUUGUCUGAAUAUUCAUCAUUUGGACAUACCAUCCAUCUUAAUGACAUCCAAUUUAUUUCCUUUCCCAUUUGUUUUGUACCAAAACAGAUCUUCAUUGAUUAUUUUUACCAUAAUUCACCUUUUGUUCUCUCAUUGUUUCACCCCUAAAAUGAAUUGAGAAAAUGCUUGAUUGCAUUGUAUUUGUCAAGAAUUGAAAUGAUAAUGAAUGAAUGAAUAUGUGCUUAAAAGAGUCUUGCAUUCAUUUGAAAAGAAAUCUAAGAUGAUGGUGGUAGAAACCUAAAAGAGAUGAUUUGAAAAGAUAUAUGAUGUGAUCAAAUGAAGAAUAUAAUGGGGCAUAUCUUGAAAAGUGAUGAAUAGAUCGAUAUGACUUGCAAGUUAUGAUUGAAUGAUGAAGACAAUCAGUGGAUAGAGUUUGUUUUGGAAUGGUUAAUGCUGAGACAGAGUAAUGACCCAAUAAUGGUGGAUGAAACUUGUUUUGAAAAUUUGUUAUUGCUGAGAAAUUCAUUGAAUGAUGGUCAAGUGAUGAUUGAUUGAUGAAGCUUAUUCCAAAGUAUUGAGAAAUUGAACAAGGAAAAAUAUGAGUGGAAGAGACAAUUGAGAGCUACACUGGUUCGAUCUUAGAAGAGUAGUGUAAUUGGAUCUCUGAAGAAUCAAAGGGCUUGAUGCCUAAGAAAAGAGCUUGAGAAAUUUGAGUACCAUACAUUGAACAGUAAUUAAUUGACCAACAUUUGCAUAGCAUGCACUGAAAUUCAUAUGCAUUUGCACAGCAUACACUACUUUCAGGAAAGUAUAGUGUAUAAAUUCAAGAAGCAAGAGUUUUCCAACAUCCCAUAUAGAGAAGACAGAUAUGAAGAUAUUUUGCAAGUUUGAGAAGAAACUUGUCAGGUAAGUUCCUAAUCCUUGAAAUAGGAUGUCUUUUGGUAUCAGAGUUGAUUUAUAAGACCUUUGGGCAUAAUCUCCUGAAAUUCCUUCAAACACAACUUUCAACUCCUUUGGACAUGAUUGUCAAGGAGCAAUUUACUUUCAAAGUCGUGGUGCCUUUAUUUAGAGGAGCAAUUUACUUUUUCAAAGUCAUGGUGCCUCUGUUUAGAGGAGCAAUUUACUUUUCAAAGUCGUUGUGCCUCUGUUUAGAGGAGCAAUUUACUUUUCCAAAGUCGUGGUGCCUCUGUUUAGAGGAGCAAUUUACUUUUUCAAAGUCGUGGUGCCUCUGUUUAGAGGAGCAAUUUACUUUUUCAAAGUCGUGGUGCCUCUGUUUAGAGGAGCAAUUUACUUUCCAAAGUUUCGUUGCCUCUGUUUAGAGAAGCAAUUUACUUUUAAAGUCGUGGUGCCUCUGUUUAGAGGAGCAAUUUAUUUUUCAAAGUUGUGGUGCCUCUGUUUAGAGGAGCAAUUUACUUUUCAAUGUCGUUGAGCCUCUGUUUAGAGGAGCUUUGAAAAAAUAAAAAAAAACCAAAAAACAAAAACAAAAAAAAUAAAAAAACAAAAACAAAAAAAAAGUUGCCUCUAUUUAGAGGAGCUUUGUUUAUGUUUCUCAAAGUCAUUGAGCCUCUGCUUAGAGAGCUUUGAUCAAAUUUUUUUUUUUAAAAAAAAAAAAAAAAACAAAAGGGGCAAAAAAAAAUUCAGUUGAGUCUUGAAGGGGUGUCUACGUCUUUGCACAAUUUCAGUUUCACAAAAAAUGUGCAAAGAGGGGCAGCUGUAGACACCCCAUUUUAUCCGGGAUCCUUUGUCAAUUAAGACUAAUCCUAGCUCAGUUGCAGGGAUUUUUAUUCAUUUUUGUUUUAGAUUUUUUUAUUUCAUAUUUAUCAAUUUUAUUUUUAUUUUUAUGAUUUAUUUUUUUUCUUUUGAUUAUCUGAUAAAAAAAAAGGGCUGAAAGCUUGGUGAUUGUGAUGAUUGUUAUCUAGAUGCUAAUCUUUAGCAUUGGAUAACUAAUUGGAAUUGAAUUGAAACUCUAUCAGCAUGGGUCUAUAUAUCAACAAUAUGCAAGCUGGAAAGCAGGGGGAGAAAAAAAAAAGAUAGAGGAGGAAUCUGAAUAAGAGGAGGAGUCCGAAUAGGAGAGAAAAAAAAAGGGGGGGAAAGCCCCCAUCUCCACCAGUCCUCAAGGCCUCUCUUUGGUGGGCGAUCUCCCCUUUCAUGAAGUGCUUAAAGACCAAGACAUCGCAUUUGUCAAUCGUGACGUGCCUGUGACUGCCCUCUGAGCAAACGGCAGAUGUGACAUAGCUUGGAACCUCGGGUUGAGCUGCUAAAAUGGAGAAGCUAGCUAGACAGCCCGUGUGUGACCAUGUAAAGGCGAAAUCAUUGAAGCAGGAUCUUAAGAGGGAAAAGGAAUUCUGGAGAUGUCAGUCUCGGGUUCAGCGGCU
Molecule: long non-coding RNA, 8413 nt
Filed under: Durio zibethinus
Lineage: Eukaryota; Viridiplantae; Streptophyta; Magnoliopsida; Malvales; Malvaceae
Description: long non-coding RNA (DZIB_LNC001735)
Source: RNAcentral